Molecule: ribosomal RNA, 390 nt
Filed under: uncultured bacterium
Lineage: Bacteria
Description: bacterial SSU rRNA
Rfam family: Archaeal small subunit ribosomal RNA
Source: RNAcentral
GGCGCGAAACCUCCGCAAUGUGAGAAAUCGCGACGGGGGGAUCCCAAGUGCCAUUCUUAACGGGAUGGCUUUUCAUUAGUGUAAAGAGCUUUUGGAAUAAGAGCUGGGCAAGACCGGUGCCAGCCGCCGCGGUAACACCGGCAGCUCUAGUGGUAGCAGUUUUUAUUGGGCCUAAAGCGUCCGUAGCCGGUUUAAUAAGUCUCUGGUGAAAUCCUGCAGCUUAACUGUGGGAAUUGCUGGAGAUACUAUUAGACUUGAGAUCGGGAGAGGUUAGAGGUACUCCCAGGGUAGAGGUGAAAUUCUGUAAUCCUGGGAGGACCGCCUGUUGCGAAGGCGUCUGACUGGAACGAUUCUGACGGUGAGGGACGAAAGCUAGGGGCGCGAACCGGA